GACGAACGCUGGCGGCGUGCUUAACACAUGCAAGUCGAACGGAAAGGCCCUGCUUUUGUGGGGUGCUCGAGUGGCGAACGGGUGAGUAACACGUGAGUAACCUGCCCUUGACUUUGGGAUAACUUCAGGAAACUGGGGCUAAUACCGGAUAGGAGCUCCUGCUGCAUGGUGGGGGUUGGAAAGUUUCGGCGGUUGGGGAUGGACUCGCGGCUUAUCAGCUUGUUGGUGGGGUAGUGGCUUACCAAGGCUUUGACGGGUAGCCGGCCUGAGAGGGUGACCGGCCACAUUGGGACUGGGAUACGGCCCAGACUCCUACGGGAGGCAGCAGUGGGGAAUAUUGCACAAUGGGCGGAAGCCUUAUGCAGCAACGCCGCGUGCGGGAUGACGGCCUUCGGGUUGUAAACCGCUUUCGCCUUUGACGAAGCGUGAGUGACGGUAAUGGGUAAAGAAGCACCGGCUAACUACGUG
This 468-nucleotide ribosomal RNA is filed under the name uncultured bacterium. RNAcentral describes it as "partial 16S ribosomal RNA". It matches the Rfam family "Bacterial small subunit ribosomal RNA", at positions 28 to 507 of the family's 1533-position model. The record is from RNAcentral.